CUGUGACCGGGUUCAAGUAAUCCAGGAUAGGCUUUCUGCGUCUGUGUUGGCCUGUGCUUGAUUACUUGCACUCGGGGUCAG
Molecule: microRNA precursor, 81 nt
Organism: Gasterosteus aculeatus (three-spined stickleback)
Lineage: Eukaryota; Metazoa; Chordata; Actinopteri; Perciformes; Gasterosteidae
Rfam family: mir-26 microRNA precursor family
About the family: The hairpin precursors (represented here) are predicted based on base pairing and cross-species conservation -- their extents are not known.
Source: Rfam